GACGAACGCUGGCGGCGUGCUUAACACAUGCAAGUCGAACGAAGUGGCGAACGGGUGAGUAAUACGUGGGUAACCUGCCCUCCUUUUUGGGAUAAGCCUUGGAAACGGGGUCUAAUACCGAAUAAAGGGGGAUGGGCUCGCGGCCUAUCAGCUUGUUGGUGGGGAGAUGGCCUACCCAGGCGGUGACGGGUAGCCGGCCUGAGAGGGUGACCGGACACAUUGGAAAUUAGAUACGGCCCAGACUCAUACUGGAGGCAGCAGUGGGGGAUAUUGCACAAUGGGGGAAAGCCUGAUGCAGCGAAGCCGCGUGGGGGUUGGAGGCUUUCGGGUUGUAAACCGCUUUCGUAAGCGAACGGGUAGGUGCAGAAGAAGCGCCGGCUAACUACGUGCCAGCAGCCGCGGUAAUUC
This 408-nucleotide ribosomal RNA is filed under the name uncultured bacterium. RNAcentral's name for it is "partial 16S ribosomal RNA". It matches the Rfam family "Bacterial small subunit ribosomal RNA", at positions 28 to 526 of the family's 1533-position model. The record is from RNAcentral.